UACAGAGGUCCCAAGCGUUGUUCGGAUUCACUGGGCGUAAAGGGUGCGUAGGUGGUGAGGUAAGUCGGAUGUGAAAUCUCCGAGCUCAACUCGGAAACUGCAUUGGAAACUACCUUGCUCGAGGGUUGGAGGGGGGACUGGAAUGCUUGGUGUAGCAGUGAAAUGCGUAGAUAUCAAGCGGAACACCAGUGGCGAAGGCGAGUCCCUGGACAACUCCUGACACUGAUGCACGAAAGCUAGGGGAGCAAACGGG
This 253-nucleotide ribosomal RNA is filed under the name uncultured bacterium. Its description in RNAcentral is "partial 16S ribosomal RNA". It matches the Rfam family "Bacterial small subunit ribosomal RNA", at positions 524 to 776 of the family's 1533-position model. The record is from RNAcentral.